AAUAAAUCAAGGGAUGAGGAUCACCAGCAUAUUAGUGAAACCUAUACUCGGAAUUAAGUGCUUGGGAAUGCAUCAACGACAAGACUUGUUGCUUACUUGUCAGCCAGUUGCUGUGUGCACAAAAACAAUAAGCAAAGCCUGCACAUUUGCUCGACUUUCGACACGCAUUUAACGUCUUUGAGAUCUUCUGAGUCCUCGCACCUUCAUUUAUGUAAGAAAAGUGGAGAUACACCAAGGAUGGAUGUAGUGACAGACUGACUGACUAAAUGUUAAGUAAGUUGGCAGCCAUGAGCCGAUCCAUGAUGCAGUGAUGCCGGAGGGGGCGGGGCUCAACAUGUAGUGGUACUGGGGGAGGCGGUAAGCUAUCCCGCUGAGUCAACCCCCACAGACCAACCCCUUCGGUGGGCCAUCUGCCAGACGGCCCUCACACACCAACACACACACGAUAAUGAGGAGGGAGUGUGUAGGGAGACCCCAAGUUAGGCAAUCAAUCUAGAUUGAUUAGGCAACUAGUAAGAAAUAAUAAGGAAGCAUUUCAAGAGAUAAACUACGGUGUUUAUUUUCUAAAAGAUUAUUAGUCGUUUGAUAGCAGC
This is a long non-coding RNA of Ictalurus punctatus (channel catfish), 593 nucleotides long. NCBI's taxonomy places the organism in Eukaryota, Metazoa, Chordata, Actinopteri, Siluriformes, Ictaluridae. The record is from Ensembl.